GGGGAUGUUGCUGGCCAUGGCGCUGGCGAGGCGCUCGCAUUGCCGGUCCAGCGUGCCGACCCACCGUUUCGCGCCGAAUGCGAGGCCGGAGUUCACCAAUGGCUUGUAGAUGUUGUGCACCGAGCUGUCGUCCACCUCCACAUGCUCCACCCAUAUUGAAUUAAUUACCUUGGAGUAGCCAUUGGGCAUUUCUUGGAUGAGGCAGCCAGACGGCCUGCGCCGGCAUUUCUGGACAGGGCUGGGGCGGAGGCUGUCGAGAGAGACAUCGACGACGGCCCAUGUCCCGUCGGAGUUGUUCUUGCAGUACCUGACGAAAUAGCUCUCCCUCGUCGGCACCAGCGGCGACGGCACUUGAAACUCCAUUGACAUC
This 370-nucleotide small RNA is filed under the name Oryza sativa Japonica Group (Japanese rice). RNAcentral describes it as "sRNA Os08g0187600". The record is from RNAcentral. Lineage: Eukaryota; Viridiplantae; Streptophyta; Magnoliopsida; Poales; Poaceae.